Molecule: unclassified non-coding RNA, 207 nt
Filed under: uncultured Tomentella
Lineage: Eukaryota; Fungi; Basidiomycota; Agaricomycetes; Thelephorales; Thelephoraceae
Description: sequence contains ITS1
Source: RNAcentral
CCGAAUUGUCGACACGAGUUGUUGCUGGCCCUCUCCAAAAGGGAGGGUAUGUGCACGCUCUGUUCACACAUCCACUUACACCUGUGCACCCUCCGUAGUUCUAUGGCCUGGGGGGCCUCUGCUCUCCUGCUGUGGCUCUAUGUUUUUACACAUACACACUGUAAUAAGGUCUUAUGGAAUGUAUGCCGCGUUUAACGCAAUACAAUA